RNAcentral lists this ribosomal RNA (232 nucleotides) under uncultured bacterium. RNAcentral describes it as "partial 16S ribosomal RNA". It matches the Rfam family "Bacterial small subunit ribosomal RNA", at positions 99 to 334 of the family's 1533-position model. The record is from RNAcentral.
CGGACGGGUGAGUAAUGUCUGGGAAACUGCCCGAUGGAGGGGGAUAACUACUGGAAACGGUAGCUAAUACCGCAUAACGUCGCAAGACCAAAGAGGGGGACCUUCGGGCCUCUUGCCAUCGGAUGUGCCCAGAUGGGAUUAGCUAGUAGGUGGGGUAACGGCCCACCUAGGCGACGAUCCCUAGCUGGUCUGAGAGGAUGAUCAGCCACACUGGGACUGAGACACGGCCCAG